Molecule: ribosomal RNA, 465 nt
Filed under: uncultured Pseudomonadota bacterium
Lineage: Bacteria; Pseudomonadati; Pseudomonadota
Description: bacterial SSU rRNA
Rfam family: Bacterial small subunit ribosomal RNA
Source: RNAcentral
GGAGGAAAGCAGGGGAUCGCAAGACCUCAUGCUCGUGGAGCGGCCGAUAUCUGAUUAGCUAGUUGGUAGGGUAAAAGCCUACCAAGGCAUCGAUCAGUAGCUGGUCUGAGAGGACGACCAGCCACACUGGAACUGAGACACGGUCCAGACUCCUACGGGAGGCAGCAGUGGGGAAUUUUGGACAAUGGGCGAAAGCCUGAUCCAGCAAUGCCGCGUGAGUGAAGAAGGCCUUCGGGUUGUAAAGCUCUUUUGUCAGGGAAGAAACGGUGAAAGCUAAUAUCUUUUGCUAAUGACGGUACCUGAAGAAUAAGCACCGGCUAACUACGUGCCAGCAGCCGCGGUAAUACGUAGGGUGCAAGCGUUAAUCGGAAUUACUGGGCGUAAAGCGUGCGCAGGCGGUUUUGUAAGUCUGAUGUGAAAUCCCCGGGCUCAACCUGGGAAUUGCGUUUGAAACUACAAGGCUAG